This 67-nucleotide transfer RNA is filed under the name human gut metagenome. It matches the Rfam family "tRNA". Rfam says of the family: Transfer RNA (tRNA) molecules are approximately 80 nucleotides in length. The record is from RNAcentral.
GGGCGUAGCUCAGUCGGCAGAGCACCGACCUUCCAAGCCGGCAGCGCGGGUUCGAUCCCCGCCUCCC